Molecule: ribosomal RNA, 408 nt
Filed under: uncultured bacterium
Lineage: Bacteria
Description: partial 16S ribosomal RNA
Rfam family: Bacterial small subunit ribosomal RNA
Source: RNAcentral
GACGAACGCUGGCGGCGUGCUUAACACAUGCAAGUCGAACGAAGUGGCGGACGGGUGAGUAACGCGUAAUAAACCUGCCCUUCAGAGGGGGACAACAGUUGGAAACGACGGCUAAUACCGCAUACUGAAGGAGGGGAUUGCGUCGGAUUAGCUAGCUGGGGGGGUAAAGGCCCACAGAGGCGAGGGUACGUAGCCGGGCUGGCGGGAAGGACGGCCACAAUGGGACUGGGACACGGCCCAGAAUUCUACGGGAGGGAGCAGUGGGGAAACUUCCGCAAUGGACGAAAGUCCGACGGAGCAACGCCGGGUGAUAUAUGACGGCCUUUGGGUUGGAAAAGUCUGUUAAGCGGGACGCGGUACCGGAAUAGAAAGCCACGGCUAACUACGUGCCAGCAGCCGCGGUAAUUC